This 21-nucleotide microRNA is filed under the name Homo sapiens (human). RNAcentral's name for it is "hsa-miR-6729-3p". The record is from miRBase by way of RNAcentral. Lineage: Eukaryota; Metazoa; Chordata; Mammalia; Primates; Hominidae.
UCAUCCCCCUCGCCCUCUCAG